GCAAGUCGAGGGGUAACAUUGUGCUUGCCCAGAUGACGACCGGCGAACGGGUGCGUAACGCGUAUAGAAUCUGCCUUGUACAGGAGGAUAGCCUUUAGAAAUGAAGAUUAACACUCCAUAAUGUAUAGAAGAGGCAUCUCUUUUAUAUUAAAUAUUUAUAGGUACAAGAGGACUAUGAGGCCUAUUAGCUAGAGGGUAAGGUAACGGCUUACCAUGGCAACGAUAGGUAGGGGGUCUGAGAGGAUUAGC
Molecule: ribosomal RNA, 249 nt
Filed under: uncultured bacterium
Lineage: Bacteria
Description: partial 16S ribosomal RNA
Rfam family: Bacterial small subunit ribosomal RNA
Source: RNAcentral